Andrographis paniculata is the source of this 656-nucleotide long non-coding RNA. RefSeq lists it as uncharacterized. Lineage: Eukaryota; Viridiplantae; Streptophyta; Magnoliopsida; Lamiales; Acanthaceae. The record is from RefSeq and is a predicted model, not a curated record. The transcript is spliced from 2 exons.
UUUAACCCGUACAUCAAAAAAAAUAAAUAAAAAAAUAGAAAACAUAAUAGUGGCAAUAAAUAAAUAAAUAGAACGAGCCAUAAUUCACAUAAUAGUGGCAAUAAAUAAAUAAACAGAAUGAGCCAUAAUUCAUAAUAUAAAAGUGGUGUCCUAAUUGUCACUAAGAAGCUAAUGUUAAUUGCAAAAUGGUCGGGCCAUGGAACGCCGCCGAUGACGCCGUCGCCGCCGUCGGCACAGCAGCAUGGUGGGCUGCUUUGCUCAGUCUUAUUAUGAUUGCCGCUGUCGUGUUUUCUUGCGCCGGCGGUGCCUCCGGUCCUGACAAAGCUGCUGCUACCAACCAUGUCGACACCUACGGAGGAGCACCCUGUGGCGGUGCUUGCGGCGCCGCAUGCGGUGGAUGAGGGCUCGCCGGUGGCCGAUCCACAUCGUAUUUAUUUUUAUUAUUGAAUAUUUAGCGGUGCUGAUGAAGAACAAACAAUGUUACAAGAAGGUUCAUUCUUGCAAGCAAUUCUCAGCCUUCUCACAUUGUCGAAGAAUGUCCUGCCCAAAACCAAUUCAUAAGAGUAUGUGGUUAAACUUUCUCAAUCCUAUCGUCCAAACCUAAUACAUUCAUUCCCACAAUAUGCAUAAUUAAUUAGAAGCUUACUUCCACGGCA